CACAGUUCCAUAUUCUCACACGUUAUUUUUAUUUUACUCCUUAUUCUCCUUUAUUUUCAUCUUCAUAUUCAGUUUUCGACGUUUUUCAGUCUCAUUUCAUUCAUCGCUUUCUUUCCUCACAAUUCUCUAAUUUUUUUCUUUUGUCGUUGUUCAGGGCGUUUCGUCUUCUCCUUGUUUCUACCUUCAAUGUUGGUUUUUCAACAAUCUGUGUGAAAGAAUGUCUCAUAUCCUUUUAUAUGCGAACGCGGUAACCAAAGGGACCGAGAUCGUGAAAGGGCUCAGGCAAGCGCCGAUGGAAAAACUAAGCCGCCUAAAAUGAUGACUUUGACUCCUGAACAGCGCAUGGAAAGGGAUGCGAAAGCAUUGCAGGAGAAAGCGGCGAGGAAAGCUGCCUGAGGGAAUAAUGCAGGUGGUGCAGAGGCAAAAAUAAGGCAAGAUUGUUGAAUUGGGGAAGGGGAGGGACUCUGCAUAUUGUAUUGCUUAUCAUCAUAUGGGCAUUUGGUUGAGUCAUCUGCGUAUGCCAUUUCAUAUAAACAAUUGAGUAACUAGUGGUUAGCAUGGAGGGCGUUAAUUGUUGUUGGCUUUAAUCCUUUGACCUUUAUAUAGUUUGGAAUGCAAUUUAUCAGUAGCUUGCUGUUAUGA
Vigna unguiculata (cowpea) is the source of this 642-nucleotide long non-coding RNA. The record is from RefSeq and is a predicted model, not a curated record. NCBI's taxonomy places the organism in Eukaryota, Viridiplantae, Streptophyta, Magnoliopsida, Fabales, Fabaceae.